Ananas comosus (pineapple) is the source of this 431-nucleotide long non-coding RNA. RefSeq lists it as uncharacterized. NCBI's taxonomy places the organism in Eukaryota, Viridiplantae, Streptophyta, Magnoliopsida, Poales, Bromeliaceae. The transcript has 2 exons. The record is from RefSeq and is a predicted model, not a curated record.
UUGACCGCGUACAAACCUAAUUGAGGGUAAAAGAAACGCGUUGGCGAAGUCGGUUCGGCAAUCCGUCGAGCCUACGCGAAGAUAUCGCCAAAAGAACAGUUUCGGCGACAAGUGUCGGGAGCGCGGGUCGCGAUUCGUGGAAAAGUGCAAGAAGUGGAUUUCUCUCAUUCCAAUACCAAGUAAAGGUUGCACGCGAGCGGCGCGGCGGCGCGAGGACAGGGCGUAGUUUCGUAGAUAGCACCCCACCACUGAGACCGAGAUAGCAAUACCCUGAAGAGGUCAAGCUCAGCGUAUCAGUAUGAAUGAAACAAAAUUGUAGUAAAAGUGUAUAAGUUGUAAUAAUUUAAAGGCUUAUGUAUUAUUGUAAAAGUAAAAAUUCUGAGAUGAAUGCUUGUAAUAGCAUAGUUAGCAUUUUAUGUUUUUGAUACUUA